Molecule: ribosomal RNA, 298 nt
Filed under: uncultured bacterium
Lineage: Bacteria
Description: partial 16S ribosomal RNA
Rfam family: Bacterial small subunit ribosomal RNA
Source: RNAcentral
AUUGAACGCUGGCGGCAUGCCUUACACAUGCAAGUCGAACGGCAGCACGGGGGCAACCCUGGUGGCGAGUGGCGAACGGGUGAGUAAAAUAUCGGAACGUGCCCUGGAGUGGGGGAUAACGUAGCGAAAGUUACGCUAAUACCGCAUACGAUCUAAGGAUGAAAGUGGGGGAUUCGCAAGAACCUCAUGCUCCUGGAGCGGCCGAUAUCUGAUUAGCUAGUUGGUGGGGAAAGGCCUACCAAGCGACGAUCAGUAGCUGUCUGAGAGGACGACCAGCCACACUGGGACUGAGACACGG